CCUACGGGGCGCAGCAGUGGGGAAUAUUGGACAAUGGGCGAAAGCCUGAUCCAGCCAUGCCGCGUGUGUGAAGAAGGCCUUCGGGUUGUAAAGCACUUUCAGUGGGGAAGAAAGCCUUGGGGCUAAUACCCUCGAGGAAGGACAUCACCCACAGAAGAAGCACCGGCUAACUCCGUGCCAGCAGCCGCGGUAAUACGGAGGGUGCGAGCGUUAAUCGGAAUUACUGGGCGUAAAGCGCGCGUAGGCGGUCUGAUAAGCCGGUUGUGAAAGCCCCGGGCUCAACCUGGGAACGGCAUCCGGAACUGUCAGGCUAGAGUGCAGGAGAGGAAGGUAGAAUUCCCGGUGUAGCGGUGAAAUGCGUAGAGAUCGGGAGGAAUACCAGUGGCGAAGGCGGCCUUCUGGACUGACACUGACGAUGAGGUGCGAAAGCGUGGGUAGCAAACAGGAUUAGAUACCCUGGUAGUC
This 465-nucleotide ribosomal RNA is filed under the name Vreelandella stevensii. RNAcentral's name for it is "partial 16S ribosomal RNA". It matches the Rfam family "Bacterial small subunit ribosomal RNA", at positions 338 to 795 of the family's 1533-position model. The record is from RNAcentral. Lineage: Bacteria; Pseudomonadati; Pseudomonadota; Gammaproteobacteria; Oceanospirillales; Halomonadaceae.